Molecule: ribosomal RNA, 537 nt
Filed under: uncultured bacterium
Lineage: Bacteria
Description: bacterial SSU rRNA
Rfam family: Bacterial small subunit ribosomal RNA
Source: RNAcentral
ACGGGUGAGUAACACGUGGGAACCUUCCCUAUAGUACGGAAUAGCCCAGGGAAACUUGGAGUAAUACCGUAUACGCCCGAAAGGGGAAAGAUUUAUCGCUAUAGGAUGGGCCCGCGUAGGAUUAGCUAGUUGGUGAGGUAAUGGCUCACCAAGGCGACGAUCCUUAGCUGGUUUGAGAGAACGACCAGCCACACUGGGACUGAGACACGGCCCAGACUCCUACGGGAGGCAGCAGUGGGGAAUAUUGGACAAUGGGCGCAAGCCUGAUCCAGCCAUGCCGCGUGAGUGAUGAAGGCCUUAGGGUUGUAAAGCUCUUUUGCCGGGGACGAUAAUGACGGUACCCGGAGAAUAAGUCCCGGCUAACUUCGUGCCAGCAGCCGCGGUAAUACGAAGGGGACUAGCGUUGUUCGGAAUCACUGGGCGUAAAGCGCACGUAGGCGGAUUUGUAAGUCAGGGGUGAAAUCCCGGGGCUCAACCUCGGAACUGCCUUUGAUACUGCAGGUCUUGAGUCCGAUAGAGGUGGGUGGAAUUCCUAGU